This 556-nucleotide long non-coding RNA is filed under the name Cricetulus griseus (Chinese hamster). RNAcentral's name for it is "lncRNA (ENSCGRG00015036091.1)". Lineage: Eukaryota; Metazoa; Chordata; Mammalia; Rodentia; Cricetidae. The record is from RNAcentral.
CGAACGUAUUCGUCAUGCCUGGAGCCUGGGAUCUGCAGUUGUGGUAUGCGGUGGCUAAAAUCCCCAGAUUUGGAUUCUGCAAAGUUUUCAUAGCCUCCAACACGUGUUUUGUCUGAACAAAGGCUAAGCAACGGAGCCCCACCUCUCAUCUCUAAACCAUUCUUCACAAAUCGUGUACCGGGAUAAGGGAAGGGUGGACAGAAGGAAGUGACUCAAGCCCAUGUUCUCUGCCCCGCCCCCGACGAAAUUCACAGGUCCAACAGAUAAAGAAACUGCAGUUUUCUGUCUUUAGUGAAUACUAUAUCAGAAUGCACCACCACAGUGUAAAGAGGGACUUGUGAUUCCUGCAUGAGUGGCUCAUGCCUGCCAUACUGUUGUAGAUGUUUCAGCUGACCAACCGUCUACGAGCAGAGAUGGUUUCCAUGACACAACUGUGCGUUAGUAACAACAGAAGCACCUAGACCUGCGGUUGCACACCUUCUGCUGUCUGGAUGGGGGAAUGAGGAAGCUGGAUGGAACUAACUGCAUCUUUGUGAACAUCUCAUCUAAAGAUCAG